ACACAUACAAAUUUGUAAUUUUUCUCAAUUUGCGCCUUUUUUCAUUAAAGCAAGUGCUUUACUUAUGCUUUGCGCAUAAAGACCCAACAGACCUUAGAACUUUUUUGCGCUUUCACUUUUGAUAAUACUGCAAUCAACCCCAACGUUGAGGACGAUCAGUCACAAGACACCACAGGUACAUUUCAAUAUUGUGGUUGACAACCUUCGACUAGCCAUCCGAUUGAGGAUGAUAAGAAGAACAGAGUGCAUACUUAGUCCCUCACAAACGAAAAAGUUCCCUCCAAAAGUGACUGGUGAAAACUACAUC
Molecule: long non-coding RNA, 307 nt
Filed under: Nicotiana benthamiana
Lineage: Eukaryota; Viridiplantae; Streptophyta; Magnoliopsida; Solanales; Solanaceae
Description: long non-coding RNA (NBEN_LNC030248)
Source: RNAcentral